CCUACGGGUGGCAGCAGUGAGGAAUAUUGGUCAAUGGCCGGAAGGCUGAACCAGCCAUGCCGCGUGAAGGUCAGUGCCCUAUGGGCGUUAAACUUCUUUUGUGCGGGAGCAAUAAUGGUCACGUGUGGCCAGACGAGAGUACCGUACGAAUAAGCAUCGUCUAACUCCGUGCCAGCAGCCGCGGGAAUACGGGGGAUGCAAGCGUUAGAAGGAUUUAUUGUGGUUAAAGGGUGCGUCGGCUGUGAGGUAAGUCCGCGGUGAAAUGGCCCCGUUCAACGGGUUGAAGUGACAUUGAUACUGCCUUGCUGGAAUGCGGAUGACGUGGGAGGAAU
This 332-nucleotide ribosomal RNA is filed under the name uncultured bacterium. RNAcentral's name for it is "partial 16S ribosomal RNA". It matches the Rfam family "Bacterial small subunit ribosomal RNA", at positions 338 to 667 of the family's 1533-position model. The record is from RNAcentral.